This 443-nucleotide ribosomal RNA is filed under the name uncultured bacterium. RNAcentral's name for it is "partial 16S ribosomal RNA". It matches the Rfam family "Bacterial small subunit ribosomal RNA", at positions 338 to 795 of the family's 1533-position model. The record is from RNAcentral.
CCUACGGGUGGCAGCAGUGGGGAAUAUUGGGCAAUGGGCGCAAGCCUGACCCAGCAACGCCGCGUGAAGGAAGAAGGCUUUCGGGUUGUAAACUUCUUUUUUGAGGGACGAAGAAAGUGACGGUACCGCAGGAAUAAGCGUCCGCUAACUACGUGCCAGCAGCCGCGGUAAUACGUAGGUGGCAAGCGUUAGCCGGAUUCAUUGGGUGUAAAGGGCGUGUAGGUGGGAAAGCAAGUCAGAUGGGAAAACUCAGGGCUCAACCCUGAGCCUGCAUUUGAAACUGUUUUUCUUGAGUGCGGGGGAGGCAAUCGGAAUUCGGUGUGUAGCGGUGAAAUGCGUAGAUAUACGGAGGAACACCGAUGGCGAAGGCGGAUUGCUGGACAGUAACUGACGCUGAGGCGCGAAAGCGUGGGGAGCAAACAGGAUUAGAUACCCGGGUAGUC